GGUUUCAUGGUCUAGUGGUUAGGACACCGGAUUUUGAUUGUCUCAGAAGUUUUCCGGUAGCCUGGGUUCGAACCCCAGUGAGACCU
Onygenales sp. PD_40 is the source of this 86-nucleotide non-coding RNA. NCBI's taxonomy places the organism in Eukaryota, Fungi, Ascomycota, Eurotiomycetes, Onygenales. The record is from the annotation of a GenBank genome assembly.